UUGAAGGUUUGCAGCGAAUCAAUGCCGCGGUUGAUUUCCCAUUUAUGUCAAAGCCCAUUCA
Molecule: non-coding RNA, 61 nt
Organism: Drosophila mojavensis
Lineage: Eukaryota; Metazoa; Arthropoda; Insecta; Diptera; Drosophilidae
Source: Rfam